UUCGCCACCAUCGAUCGAUCCAUCGAGCCCCACCUCAAGAAAUGCUAAGGAGCUCGAUCGGAGGGUUCGCUCCGGUGAUCAUCAUCCAUUGGCGCUAAGCGUUGAGGGGAGGACCAUGAAAAGGCACUUCACUUUCAAUUCGAAGCUCAUCAUCAUUGUUCUCACCAUCAUUGCGGACGAUAUUAUGCAGUUCGCCAAUGCAAUCGCCGCCACUGACAUACUACGAGUUCAUAUGUUCACUCAAUUAUAUCCACGUGGGAAUGCAAGGCUAAGGUUACCGGAUCACAGUUGCCAUACUUCGAAGGGGGUUAUUGGCCGGGGCCGGUGGAGGUUUUCUUCAACAACGUCUUCAAGAAGAAGAUAAUAGAAAAUAACGAACCAAGUGAAAAAGAAUAAAGAUUAUUUCAAAAAGGACUAUCAAAGCUGUUGGUCAUACUGAUCUUUCUAGCAAUCUCUCCAAGGAUGCUUUGUUCAUGCGAAAACUCGGUGAGACCAUUUGUUCAAUGAAGGAAAAAUUCAUCUGUAACAACCUGCGGGACAUUACAUCAUCAUAGUUCAUCUGCGGACUGCAGCAUGCUUGCACCCAUCGCUUUUUUCUUAUGGUCUUGCGGACACGGUUGUGCAACCAAUGCAAAAGGUUCCUAUUUGAUCUGUAACAAGUUGAAGAAUUUCAAUUCGUAUCUUGGGGUUUAUUGCUUGAUUUGUCAUGAGCAUG
This is a long non-coding RNA of Ananas comosus (pineapple), 715 nucleotides long. RefSeq lists it as uncharacterized. The record is from RefSeq and is a predicted model, not a curated record. The transcript has 4 exons. NCBI's taxonomy places the organism in Eukaryota, Viridiplantae, Streptophyta, Magnoliopsida, Poales, Bromeliaceae.